CAGUACAGGCCGAGGCUCUUGGUCCCCCGGCAGUGAGGAAAGCGCUUGGACUGUUUACUAAUAUACUGUUCACUCAUGCUGAGAUUGGUCAGUUCAGGAAACCAACCUCAAGUGUGGCUGUGGCAGGGCUGAGAAGGAAACUGGUCCGGAGGCAGCCCUUCAAGAUGAUGCUGAGAGCCAUCUGCCCCGCACUGGGGACAGUCCUCCUGUGGUUCUCACUACCCUCCUCCCCCGUGACCCUCAGCACUUCAGCCCAGCUUCAACCAUGCGGAGCCCCCAGCGCCGAGACACCAUUGUUGAUAUACAAGACUCUGGGGUCUCACCUGCCCAUCCACAUGGGUGUCUGCCCCCUCUCCAGGGUCCCACUACCCCACCCCCACCCCCAGCCUGUCCUGUCCGGUAUGUCCUGUGGCCUCACAGAUCACCGCACAGUCGCCUCUGGACGAAAGCUUCCCGGUCUGAACCAACAAGAACAGAAAGAGUUACACCCAGCCCGCUGUCUCCAGCACGUUCCAAGCAGCGGCUAAGCCACAAUUUAUCACCACGAAAGUCCGAGCGUUCCAGAACGCCAGGCCAUCAACUUCUCCCCCCACCUAAGAGACUGACAUGGAGACUUUUUCUCCUCCCGUGCUUGAGAUGAGGCUGAGGGUCUUGCAGGUGCUAGACCAGUGCUCUCGACCACGGAGUCACACGGAGUCACACCUCCGGCCUCUGGAACAGAAAUGGCAAUGUCACCUUGGGUCA
This is a non-coding RNA of Peromyscus maniculatus bairdii (prairie deer mouse), 744 nucleotides long. The record is from RefSeq and is a predicted model, not a curated record. NCBI's taxonomy places the organism in Eukaryota, Metazoa, Chordata, Mammalia, Rodentia, Cricetidae.